Molecule: ribosomal RNA, 702 nt
Filed under: uncultured Lachnospiraceae bacterium
Lineage: Bacteria; Bacillati; Bacillota; Clostridia; Lachnospirales; Lachnospiraceae
Description: bacterial SSU rRNA
Rfam family: Bacterial small subunit ribosomal RNA
Source: RNAcentral
GAUGAACGCUGGCGGCGUGCUUAACACAUGCAAGUCGAACGAAGCACUCUAUUUGAUUUUCUUCGGAAAUGAAGAUUUUGUGACUGAGUGGCGGACGGGUGAGUAACGCGUGGGUAACCUGCCUCAUACAGGGGGAUAACAGUUGGAAACGACUGCUAAUACCGCAUAAGCGCACAGGAUCGCAUGGUCCGGUGUGAAAAACUCCGGUGGUAUGGGAUGGACCCGCGUCUGAUUAGCCAGUUGGCAGGGUAACGGCCUACCAAAGCGACGAUCAGUAGCCGACCUGAGAGGGUGACCGGCCACAUUGGGACUGAGACACAGCCCAAACUCCUACGGGAGGCAGCAGUGGGGAAUAUUGCACAAUGGGGGAAACCCUGAUGCAGCGACGCCGCGUGAGCGAAGAAGUAUUUCGGUAUGUAAAGCUCUAUCAGCAGGGAAGAAGAAUGACGGUACCUGACUAAGAAGCACCGGCUAAAUACGUGCCAGCAGCCGCGGUAAUACGUAUGGUGCAAGCGUUAUCCGGAUUUACUGGGUGUAAAGGGAGCGCAGGCGGUGCGGCAAGUCUGAUGUGAAAGCCCGGGGCUCAACCCCGGUACUGCAUUGGAAACUGUCGUACUAGAGUGUCGGAGGGGUAAGUGGAAUUCCUAGUGUAGCGGUGAAAUGCGUAGAUAUUAGGAGGAACACCAGUGGCGAAGGCGGCUU